UUUCAAAUGUAGUGAGACGUUAACGGUUUAUUUCAAAUGUAGUGAGACGUUAACGGUUUAUUUCAAAUUCAGUGUGACGUUAACGAUUUAUUUCAAAUUCAGUGUGACAUUAACGGCCAACUACCGGGAAGAUUACAUACAGGAGCCACUGGAGAGGAGCUAAAGAGCCGCAUGAGGCUCCGGAGCUGCAGGUUGCAGACCCUUGGGUUAGGGCAUAUGAGCAGGACAUUAUGCAAAUUCAGCACAGAAUGGGGAGCAUCUGCACGAGCCGACGCAUGGAACUGGUGAUAGUUGAGUCCCAUCCCUGCAAACAAGAUGAAACUGGAAACGAUGAGGAGGAUCCCGCAGCCCUGGUUUGGGUUUUGGUCCUAUGGGCCGCAUGAGGGAGCCGGCAACACAGCAAUUGAAGAGCAGGCCGCCCAAGAUCAAGAAACUUCCUCUCCAGCCAAACUUGUCAAAAAGCCAGGUGUUGAUAGGAGCCAUGGUGGAGAGAACGACGGGGCUGCCGGCCAUGGCGAUCCCAUUAGCAAUGGGCCGCUUAUGGAAGAAGUACUUUCCAAUCAUAGUGAGGGCAGGGUUGAGGUUGAAAGCCAAUCCCAAACCUAAAAGAAUAAAUAAAAAAAAAUGUGUGAGUGUACUUGACAUCUAUAAUUAGUAAAAAGGGAAGAUUAAAUUGGAGAUUCAAAGCA
This is a long non-coding RNA of Sebastes umbrosus (honeycomb rockfish), 689 nucleotides long. RefSeq lists it as uncharacterized. Lineage: Eukaryota; Metazoa; Chordata; Actinopteri; Perciformes; Sebastidae. The record is from RefSeq and is a predicted model, not a curated record. The transcript is spliced from 4 exons.